Molecule: long non-coding RNA, 487 nt
Filed under: Lathyrus oleraceus (garden pea)
Lineage: Eukaryota; Viridiplantae; Streptophyta; Magnoliopsida; Fabales; Fabaceae
Description: Pisum sativum (pea) long non-coding RNA (PSAT_LNC010896)
Source: RNAcentral
CAAUCUUCUUUGUAAAUGCAGCUUAUGACUCAUGGCAGAUUAAGGAUAUUUUGGCAUCCGGUGUUGUUAUCUACAUGGCACUUUGCGUAGCUGCAAACUUGAUAAAAUAUUGCUACAUCAUGAAACAGCAACUGUUAAAUAUCAUAACAAAGAAAACAAUACACAAAGACAACAAGCAGUGGACUAUGACUUAUGGAGUGGUUUUUUUUUUUGAGUCCUGCGACACCUGCCGGCAAUCUCUUGUGGACAACCGGUGAAGCAUUGAGAAUUGAGAAAGAAUAACUUGAUGUCGUUGUUAAUUUUGCUGUCAAAUGCAAGACAUAAUAACAGUACGACAAUUUCUCAGAAGCCUACAAUUGUUAUAAAGGAAUUGCAAAUNUGCAGUAACACAAAUUAAUUAGUCAAAGCUGCAGAAUUUCGAAAAAUUCCCAAAUUGGAAUAGAGACAAAACUCAAAGAGAAAGUUUGAGCUCAGAUUACCUUUUCCA